RNAcentral lists this ribosomal RNA (497 nucleotides) under uncultured bacterium. RNAcentral describes it as "partial 16S ribosomal RNA". It matches the Rfam family "Bacterial small subunit ribosomal RNA", at positions 28 to 507 of the family's 1533-position model. The record is from RNAcentral.
GAUGAACGCUGGCGGCGUGCCUAACACAUGCAAGUCGAGCGAAAAGACGAGGCGCUUGCUCCUCUGACGUUAGCGGCGGACGGGAGUGAAACACGUGGAUCCUGUACUUGUCUGUGUGAGAUCACUUCGGAACUCCGGCUCUAACACCGGAUAAUAUCUUGCACCAUGUGGUUCAUUAGUGAAAGUCGGCUUUGCUGUCACUUAUAGCUGCAUCCGCGCCGCAUUAGCUAGUAGGUAAGGUAACGGCUUACCACGGGUACGCUGCGUGGCCGAGCUGAGAGGGUGAUAGGCACCACGGGAACGGAGACACGGUCCAGGCUCCUACGGUAGGCAGCAGUAGGGAAUCGUCCGCAAUGGGCGAAAGCCUGACGGAGCAACGCCGCGUGAGUGAUGAAGGUCUCCGGAUCGUAAAACUCUGUUAUUAGGGAAGAACAAAUGUGGAAGUAACUAUGCACGUCUUGACGGUACCUAAUCAGAAAGCCACGGCUAACUACGUG